GCAAACUCACUAUAUAAGCAAAGCCAUAAAUGGCAUCUUAACAGUUGAUGAAUUAGACUAUCUUCCAGAAAAUGCUUUGUGUCACCUUAGUUGUUACUUUCGUAGUUUUGUGCUUGCUUCAGGCGGUAUCGGCUGAUUAUAUGAUUUUGGCAAACAGGAGCGGUAAUCCAAUAGAUCCAUUUCUAGGCACUCUAUUCUCUGUACUAACCCCUCCACUCGGGACUGCAGGGUAGGUUAAUAACAAAAUGUUUGUUAAUUAUUUGCUUCAAAUUGUAACAAUGAUACAAAUGGAGUGAUGUAAAUAAAGUUCUUGGCAACCUAA
Zeugodacus cucurbitae (melon fly) is the source of this 322-nucleotide long non-coding RNA. RefSeq lists it as uncharacterized. The transcript has 2 exons. NCBI's taxonomy places the organism in Eukaryota, Metazoa, Arthropoda, Insecta, Diptera, Tephritidae. The record is from RefSeq and is a predicted model, not a curated record.